This 468-nucleotide ribosomal RNA is filed under the name uncultured bacterium. RNAcentral describes it as "partial 16S ribosomal RNA". It matches the Rfam family "Bacterial small subunit ribosomal RNA", at positions 28 to 507 of the family's 1533-position model. The record is from RNAcentral.
GACGAACGCUGGCGGCGUGCUUAACACAUGCAAGUCGAACGGAAAGGCCCUGCUUUUGUGGGGUGCUCGAGUGGCGAACGGGUGAGUAACACGUGAGUAACCUGUCCUUGAAUUUGGGAUAAAUUCAGGAAACUGGGGCUAAUACAGGAUAGGAGCUCCUGCAGCAUGGUGGGGGUUGGAAAGAUUCGGCGGUUGGGGAUGGACUAGAGGCUUAUCAGCUUGUUGGUGGGGUAGUGGCUUACCAAGGCUUUGAAGGGUAGCCGGCCUGAGAGGGUGACCGGCCACAUUGGGCCUGAGAUACGGCCCAGACUCCUACGGUAGGCAGCAGUGGGGAAUAUUGCACAAUGAGCGGAAGCCUGAUGCAGCAACGCCGCGUGCGGGAUGACGGCCUUCGGGUUGUAAACCGCUUUCGCCUGUGACGAAGCGUUAGUGACGGUAAUGGGUAAAGAAGCACCGGCUAACUACGUG